This 780-nucleotide ribosomal RNA is filed under the name uncultured Neocallimastigales. RNAcentral's name for it is "partial large subunit ribosomal RNA". It matches the Rfam family "Eukaryotic large subunit ribosomal RNA", at positions 22 to 631 of the family's 3401-position model. Lineage: Eukaryota; Fungi; Neocallimastigomycota; Neocallimastigomycetes; Neocallimastigales. The record is from RNAcentral.
CAUAGCGACUAUCGUGGCAUAUCAAUAAGCGGAGGAAAAGAAACUAACAAGGAUUCCCCUAGUAACGGCGAGUGAAGCGGGAAGAGCUCAAAUUUGAAAUCUUAAAGGGUUUCCCUUUACGAAUUGUAGUUUAAAGAAGUGUUUUCUGUUGGAGUUUCGGUAAAAGUUCUUUGGAAUAGGACAUCAUAGAGGGUGAGAAUCCCGUAUUUGACCGUUACUUUCCAGCUGUGUGAUACACUUUCAAAGAGUCGGAUUGUUUGGGAAUGCAGUCCAAAAUGGGUGGUAAAUUUCAUCUAAAGCUAAAUAUUGGCGAGAGACCGAUAGCGAACAAGUACCGUGAGGGAAAGAUGAAAAGAACUUUGAAAAGAGAGUUAAACAGUACGUGAAAUUGUCAAAAGGGAAGCGUUUGACACCAGUGUUGUUUAGUUCCGAAAAUCAAUUCACUAAUUUUUGAUUUUGAGUAGUUAUGACUUCAUCAGCUUGCUGCCUUUCUUUAUCGAAACUUUCUUGAAUGCACUUUUCAGUUAACAAGUCAACAUCAAUUUCUUUUGUUGUAAAAGGGUGUGAGGAAGGUGGCUUUCUUUUCGGAGAAAGUGUUUAUAGCCUUGUGCCUCUGCAAUCGGAGAGAUUGAGGUCUGCAGCGUAGAUCCUUCGGGGUUAGAUACGUUUGUGCUAAGUUAUGGCCUUUCAUAGACAACUUGUUGACUAUGAUCAGUCAUGUAGCUUACUCGCUUAUGCUAUUUUACCUACGCUUAGGAUGUUGAUAGUCACAGCGUGUAC